This 499-nucleotide ribosomal RNA is filed under the name uncultured bacterium. Its description in RNAcentral is "partial 16S ribosomal RNA". It matches the Rfam family "Bacterial small subunit ribosomal RNA", at positions 29 to 523 of the family's 1533-position model. The record is from RNAcentral.
AUUGAACGCUGGCGGCAUGCCUUACACAUGCAAGUCGAACGCGAAAGGGGGGCAACUCCUGAGUAGAGUGGCGCACGGGUGAGUAAUGCAUCGGAACGUGUCCUGUAGUGGGGGAUAACCUAGCGAAAGCUAGGCUAAUACCGCAUACGUCCUACGGGAGAAAGUGGGGGAUCGUAAGACCUCACACUAUAGGAGCGGCCGAUGCCGGAUUAGCUAGUUGGUGGGGUAAAAGCCUACCAAGGCGACGAUCCGUAGCUGGUCUGAGAGGAUGAUCAGCCACACUGGGACUGAGACACGGCCCAGACUCCUACGGGAGGCAGCAGUGGGGAAUUUUGGACAAUGGGGGAAACCCUGAUCCAGCCAUGCCGCGUGAGUGAAGAAGGCCUUCGGGUUGUAAAGCUCUUUCGGCCGGGACGAAAUCGCACGCGUGAAUAUCGCGUGUGGAUGACGGUACCGGAAGAAGAAGGACCGGCUAACUACGUGCCAGCCGCCGCCGUAA